Molecule: long non-coding RNA, 634 nt
Filed under: Medicago truncatula (barrel medic)
Lineage: Eukaryota; Viridiplantae; Streptophyta; Magnoliopsida; Fabales; Fabaceae
Description: lncRNA gene35934
Source: RNAcentral
UUUCUUAUCUAUCUCUCAGCAAUCACUAUUAAUUUCACAAACUUACAAAUAGAUAGUGUGAUAAGUUAAUUAAUUGCUUUUAUUGUCUUUUGCUUGGAGUAUGUUUCAUAGGAUGCUUGUUUUUUGUGUUAGUGUGCUGGCUGACAUGUGUGUUUUUGUUUGGUACGAAACCAAAACAUUUGACCAUUAAGUUUACAAUGGCAAAUUUUUUGCCUUCAUGCUCUUUUUUUUUUUUUUUGACAUCUUCAUGAUUUUAUAUUUAUUUUUUAUAUAUUUUUACAUGAAUUUUGAAAACCUGUGCAUUUAUAUGCAUUGCCUAUUUCCAUAUACACCCUAAUUAUUCUUUUAAAUACUGAGUUAACGUGGGUUCCUUGUUUUGAUAAAUUUGUACUAAUACAAAUAUAACAUGUAUCAAUACACAUCAGUUACUUUUUUAGUUCUGCUUAAAUCUAAGCUUUCUAAUUGAUCUACCACUCUCCAAAAAGGUUAUAGAUAACAUAUGUUUGGUCAGUAAGAGUUCAGAACAAUACAGCCCGCAAGCAAGGUUUAAAUAAUAUUUCCAUACACAAAUUCAUAUUUCUUUUCUCCGAUGACUCCUCGUUUUGGACUUUUUCUUUUGUGGUGGCCGAGGUUC